UACGAAGGGGGCUAGCGUUGUUCGGAAUCACUGGGCGUAAAGCGCACGUAGGCGGAUCUUUAAGUCAGAGGUGAAAUCCCAAGGCUCAACCUUGGAACUGCCUUUGAUACUGGGGAUCUUGAGUCCGGGAGAGGUGAGUGGAACUGCGAGUGUAGAGGUGAAAUUCGUAGAUAUUCGCAAGAACACCAGUGGCGAAGGCGGCUCACUGGCCCGGUACUGACGCUGAGGUGCGAAAGCGUGGGGAGCAAACAGG
Molecule: ribosomal RNA, 253 nt
Filed under: uncultured bacterium
Lineage: Bacteria
Also listed under: 1 other name
Description: partial 16S ribosomal RNA
Rfam family: Bacterial small subunit ribosomal RNA
Source: RNAcentral